UUAGAGUUUGAUCAUGGCUCAGGAUGAACGCUGGCGGCGUGUUUAACACAUGCAAGUCGACGAGAUGUUUCUCAGUAGAUUCUUCGGAUGAUACAGAGUUACGGAAAGCGGCGGACGGGUAGUAACGCGUAGGCAACCUGCCCCUUGCAGAGGGAUAGCCUCGGGAAACCGGGAUUAAAACUCAUAAUGCGGCACUGAGACAUCUCAGAGCCGCCAAAGAUUUAUCGGCAAGGGAUGGGCUGCGUCUGAUUAGUUAGUUGGUGGGGUAACGGCCUACCAAGGCGACGAUCAGUAGCCGACUGAGAGGGUGAUCGGCCACAUUGGAACUGAGACACGGUCCAAACUCCUACGGGAGGCAGCGUGGAGAAUCUUGCACAAUGGGCGAAAGCCUGAUGCAGCAACGCCGCGUGAAGGAUGAAGCCCUUGGGUCGUAAACUUCUGUUCUAAGGGAAGAUAAUGACGGUACCUUAGGAGCAAGUCCGGCUAACUACGUGCCAGCAGCCGCGGUAAUACGUAGGGGGCGAGCGUUAUCCGUAAUUAUGGGCGUAAAGAGUACGUAGGUGGUUUCCUAAGCGAGGGGUUUAAGGCAAUGGCUUAACCUUGUUCGCCCCCCGAACUGGGUUACUUGAGUGCUGGAGGGGAAAGCGGAAUUCCUAGUGUGCGGUGAAUGCGUAGAUAUUAGGAGGAACACCAGUGGCGAAGGCGGCUUUCUGGACAGUACUGACACUGAGGUACGAAAGUGUGGGGAGCAAACAGGAUUAGAUACCCUGGUAGUCCACACGUAAACGAUGAGCACUAUGUGUUGGGUUCGCAAGAACUCGGUGCCGCAGUUAACGCAUUAGUGCUCCGCCUGGGGA
Molecule: ribosomal RNA, 857 nt
Filed under: uncultured bacterium
Lineage: Bacteria
Description: bacterial SSU rRNA
Rfam family: Bacterial small subunit ribosomal RNA
Source: RNAcentral